CCAGGAAGUCUGUGCUGCAGCAGGUGCCAUCCUCAGGGACCGUUAUCAUCAAUACCCUUGAGUUCUGGAUAAGUUUUCCCCAGACUUAGCUUUGUUAUUUUCUUAAUAGUGAAGUAUGGUGCAGAGAUCUCUCCCAAAAGCUCUGGAAGCUGCUGGUCCUGUCCGGAAAGGGGCUUGGUUGUGUGAUGUUCCUCACCAAUGAUUUUUACUGUGCAGCAGCUUUUACCCAGGUUCCAGCAGCAUCACGGUGGCACCAGUGACAGCAGUGUAAAAGCACUUGGCCUCUUUCAAUCUGGACAGUCACCUGUGAGGCACUAAGAGAGCUUCCUACAGCGAGGUCAGUCCAGCUGUCAGUCACUGCUCACCUGGGCCAGAUUUGAUUGCUGAUCCCAAGAUGAAAGGUUUCAUCCUGUCUUCUCCAGAGGCGGCUGCUCUUCCUGAAGAAAUAUUUCAAGACCAUUUCUACUGGAUACAGGAAAAAGAAGCAAACACAUUCCCGUGCUUUUACUUCCAUGCUGGUAUUGCAUUGCUUCCUGUGACCCUCUCUUCUCCCAGCAAUGCAUGGCUUUAAAGUUGCACAGGCUGGGUGGAAUAUAUUUUAGAGCGAGACUCAAUUUAGCCAUGAUGUCAACUGCAGCCAACUAUAAAAAGCUCAGUAAUGCUCUUUGAAAGUGUAACAGCUGCUGCUCUACACAGUCCCUGGUGUAUUACAAGUCCGCCCUACUUCAUGUGCACACAACCAAAAUAAAAUACGAUAGCAAUCAUUAUAUAGUUCAAGGAAUUUGGGACAAAAUCUCCCCAGAAACCAGGAGGAAUUCAAGGUUAGACAAACUGGGUAAUUUUACACAGUUUGUUAACAGAAAGGUAAUUUUAUCUGGCUUUGCAACGUAGCCUGACUUCUACCUCACACUUGACUACGUGUAAUCAGUGAUCCCUACACAGUGACAACCAAGCAGAAAACCUUUUGGCAGUUCUGGAUAAACUGACUUCUUGCAUGGGCAAACCAUGUGAAAGGAAGAGGAUUCAUGUCUCCCUGUCUAAGAAGAAAACAUAUAACCUCUUCAGCAGCAAUUCCUCUCAAUCAUCAGCAAGAUAGAGGCCAGAAGGUCUACAUUUCUUACUGGAGGGCACUGUUGCUGGACUAGACUGCCUCUUGGGACUUGUAUUUCCUCCAUGUUUCCCUUCCCAUGCAGAACCCGCUGUUCCAAGAAACAAGUGAAUAAUUUACUGGCUGAACUGAGCAUAUUCAUCUUAUCUGUGAAUUAAGCUCAGGGUUUUCUCAAAUACAUAAAUUAUUGGGAAUUUGUCAUAAUCAUUUGGGAAAUAUGUCUUCAUUUACAGGAUUGAUGAGCAAUUCACUGAAGGCGUUGGAAGUCAUUCUGGCUGCCUGGCAGGGAACAGCCAGGACCAGCUGCUUCUUGAGGGCCAGGGAGCCAAGGGGGCUGGGAGUGCAAGAUGAGGUGAGGACCUGGGGGCCUGUGGCCAUAGUUCAGGUGAGGGCCAAGGACAAGAGCUUCAGCUGAAGGAGUUCCCAAGGGCCAGGGAGCCAGUGUUGGUUUGGGCAGUGGCCUCCUGAUCAAGCUGCCUGGGAGUGCUCCCCAUGGCAGGUCCUGAGCCCUGGCAGCCAGACCUCCAGCAGUAAGGAGGACGUGCUCAGGGCCCCAUGGCUGCCUGGAUAGGUGGCUUUGGAUAAAUCUUUAUUUUAUGCCAGAUGAGCCAGGAUUCUACGCUGCAACACAGAUAACUAUCUCUGAAAAUGCAGAAUUUUCUUCUGGAAAAAUAUUUAAUAAUUUUUUAUUAAAUUAUCACUGACCAGAACUUCCUGACGCCUCUCAAAAUUUGAAUUUCCAUUUUUUUCUAAUAUAUCAUCUCGCAGCUAAUCCCCUUCCUACACCUGAUCAGGCA
Molecule: long non-coding RNA, 1905 nt
Organism: Corapipo altera (White-ruffed manakin)
Lineage: Eukaryota; Metazoa; Chordata; Aves; Passeriformes; Pipridae
Exons: 3
Source: RefSeq, a predicted model, not a curated record